This is a long non-coding RNA of Oncorhynchus tshawytscha (Chinook salmon), 645 nucleotides long. NCBI's taxonomy places the organism in Eukaryota, Metazoa, Chordata, Actinopteri, Salmoniformes, Salmonidae. The record is from Ensembl.
CCCGGUCUCCUCAUGGCCUCAUUCGCCAGGUCUCCUCAUGGCCUCAUUCGCCAGGUCUCCUCAUGGCCUCCUUCGCCAGGUCUCCUCAUGGCCUCCUUCACCAGGUCUCCUCAUGGCCUCCUGCUUUGUUCUGAGUCUUAGUACUCUGGCACCUGCCAAGGCUCACACAUGGAUCAAGUCACGGUGUUGACACAGCCUCCUCUCCUCCUCAUACAACACUACCUUUUUACUCUCACCUAUCACCUGUAUUGUCAGUCUCACUUGUGUUUUAAUACCAGACAGCCCAUCCCACUGCGGUUAGCCCCUUCUCCUAUGUGAUGUUAUAAGUCAUUUCCCAGUCUCAGAUAGAAAAAGCAUUGGUCAGUCAGUGUAUCCAACCACUGGAACAGUCACACAUGACAUAAGUUUAGUCAUCCAUUUGAUUGCUAACUAGUCAAAUAUUACAGCAAUAACGUACGUGUGGUCACAGUUAUGAGUUCCAAUGCCACGGUGCAAACAGUUGGAGUUUUAUCAGUCGUAUAUAGUUUUUUCUUCCCUCCCAAUACGCAGAGUCAUCGGCUUAGCCGAUCUAAUUGAGAUAAUUUGUUCACUUUAGCCUAACAAUUCUUCACUUCAGCCACUGUGCUUUCGACCUUGGGUUCCAGC